GGCUAGUCAUGUAAUUUAUUUAACGAUCGAUGUUGGAUAUUGAUAGGUAGGGCAUUGGGAAAAUCUACGUAAGGAUAGGCAAAAGCCUGAUCAGUUGCAGCUAAUUUCCAGUGAAAAUUAAGAACAAGAUAGUGAAUGAAAAUGGCCAUCUCAAGUUUGGCCAGUUCAGAUCCUGCACAUAGACGUGGACCUCCCCCAAAUGGCAUGAAAUUAUUACUACUUUU
RNAcentral lists this unclassified non-coding RNA (224 nucleotides) under Hevea brasiliensis (rubber tree). Lineage: Eukaryota; Viridiplantae; Streptophyta; Magnoliopsida; Malpighiales; Euphorbiaceae. The record is from RNAcentral.